RNAcentral lists this ribosomal RNA (497 nucleotides) under uncultured bacterium. Its description in RNAcentral is "partial 16S ribosomal RNA". It matches the Rfam family "Bacterial small subunit ribosomal RNA", at positions 28 to 507 of the family's 1533-position model. The record is from RNAcentral.
GAUGAACGCUGGCGGCGUGCCUAAUACAUGCAAGUCGAGCGAACGGGCGAGAAGCUUGCAUCUCUGAUGUUAGCGGCGGACGGGUGUGUAACACGUGGAUAACCUACCUAUAAGACUGGGAUAACUUCGGGAAACCGGAGCUGAUACCGGAGGAUAUUUUGAACCGCAUGGUUCAAAAGUGAAAGACGGUCUUGCUGUCCCUUAUAGAUGGAUCCGCGCUGCAUUAGCUAGUUGGUAAGGUAACGGCUUACCAAGGCAACGAUGCAUAGCCGACCUGAGAGGGUGAUAGGCCACACUGGAACUGAGACACGGUCCAGACUCCUACGGGAGGCAGCAGUAGGGAAUCUUCCGCAAUGGGCGAAAGCCUGACGGAGCAACGCCGCGUGAGUGAUGAAGGUCUUCGGAUCGUAAAACUCUGUUAUUAGGGAAGAACAUAUGUGUAAGUAACUGUGCACAUCUUGACGGUACCUAAUCAGAAAGCCACGGCUAACUACGUG